RNAcentral lists this ribosomal RNA (329 nucleotides) under uncultured eukaryote. RNAcentral describes it as "partial 18S ribosomal RNA". It matches the Rfam family "Eukaryotic small subunit ribosomal RNA", at positions 1470 to 1796 of the family's 1831-position model. The record is from RNAcentral.
CCAUUAGAUGUUCUGGGCCGCACGCGCGCUACAAUGAUGAAUUCAACGAGUUUAUAACCUUGGUUGAAAAGCCUGGGUAAUCUUUUGAACUUUCGUCGUGAUGGGGCUAGACCCUUGCAAUUAUUGGUCUCCAACGAGGAAUUCCUAGUAAACGCAAGUCAUCAGCUUGCAUUGAUUACGUCCCUGCCCUUUGUACACACCGCCCGUCGCACCUACCGAUUGAAUGGUCCGGUGAAAUCUUCGGAUUGAGACUUUGAUUUCUUCACGGAAAACGCUGUUUUAAGAAGUUGAUUAAACCUUACCAUUUAGAGGAAGGUGAAGUCGUAACA